This 670-nucleotide long non-coding RNA is filed under the name Ornithorhynchus anatinus (platypus). Its description in RNAcentral is "lncRNA (ENSOANG00000038912.1)". The record is from RNAcentral. Lineage: Eukaryota; Metazoa; Chordata; Mammalia; Monotremata; Ornithorhynchidae.
CUUAUGGCACAUGAGGACUGUACUGAGGUUUAUGUUCUGUAAUUCAGUUUCAGACCAAGAAAUAGACAGCAAAGCCCAGAGCAAAUAAUACAUUUUCACAAUCUUUUGAAAUACUGAGUUUUUCAGUAAUGCACGUGUUCAUGGAUUUUGGCCAGAGUGACGCUAAUAGUAUUAUUAGCUAAUAGCUAAUAGUAUUAGUAAUACCCUAAUAGUAUUUAGGGUGUUUUCGCAGAUAACACAGAGGUCAGCGCGCACCCCAAAUUUUGGAGCAUGCUCUUCGAAGGCACCAUGAUAGACCAGUAGAAAAUCGGGUCAAGUAAAGUGUUGGAGGGCCUUGCUAAUGUACGGUGAAGCUUCAGGCCGAACUGAAGAUUUUGGAUUUUGGAGAGAUUUUGGAUUUUGGAGAGGAGUAUUCUUGUCUUGAAGGCAAAUAAGGUGGAUUUUUCUGAAGAGCUAGGCAGUGGAAUGCGAUAUUUUACGUGAUUCUAGGAAAGCUUCUAGACGGAUAACCGCAGUAGCCCAGCGGACUAGUAUAGUGGUUGCUGGACUGUGGGUGGCGUGUGUAUGUGUUUGCAUUUUUUGUUUCCUGGCUCUAGUUGAAAUUAAUUUUCCGCGUUGCCAAAACAAACAUCCCCAAACAAGCAGCCUAAUUAAAAAGGCAGAAGUCCCC